RNAcentral lists this ribosomal RNA (468 nucleotides) under uncultured bacterium. Its description in RNAcentral is "partial 16S ribosomal RNA". It matches the Rfam family "Bacterial small subunit ribosomal RNA", at positions 28 to 507 of the family's 1533-position model. The record is from RNAcentral.
GACGAACGCUGGCGGCGUGCUUAACGCAUGCAAGUCGAACGGAAAGGCCCUGCUUUUGUGGGGUGCUCGAGUGGCGAACGGGUGAGUAACACGUGAGUAACCUGCCCUUGACUUUGGGAUAACUUCAGGAAACUGGGGCUAAUACCGGAUAGGAGCUCCUGCUGCAUGGUGGGGGUUGGAAAGUUUCGGUGGUUGGGGAUGGACUCGCGGCUUAUCAGCUUGUUGGUGGGGUAGUGGCUUACCAAGGCUUUGACGGGUAGCCGGCCUGAGAGGGUGACCGGCCACAUUGGGACUGAGAUACGGCCCAGACUCCUACGGGAGGCAGCAGUGGGGAAUAUUGCACAAUGGGCGGAAGCCUGAUGCAGCAACGCCGCGUGCGGGAUGACGGCCUUCGGGUUGUAAACCGCUUUCGCCUGUGACGAAGCGUGAGUGACGGUAAUGGGUAAAGAAGCACCGGCUAACUACGUG